GAAAAAAUAAGCAAAGGUGGUGAUGCCGGUCCAUCUAGAAUGAAGGAUGAGCAAAAGAUGAAAGAUAUUCCGCUCGAUCUUGUCUUAAGUUCGUCACAGCGUGGAAAUGAUGUCCGUUAUUUUGGAGAAAGCACGAUCGAUAUCGCCGGAAGCAGCGACAUCUCACUUGAUUCUUGGGAGAUACCUGAAAGGGUUGAAGCAGCAGAAGGAAGAAGUCGACAUCCCUCUUCCGAACGAGUGUUUGAGAAAGAGUUGAGCAUCGAUAAGCUAGAACUACCGCAAAAGUUCACUGAGCCGCAUCAAGAAUGGAACGGAAGGGUCACGGAGGCGCUCUCUUCAGAUGCUCAGCGGCUAUCGGUUAUCCAAAAAAGCGCACGUGAGCUGAGGAGGAACAUGGAAGC
Molecule: unclassified non-coding RNA, 401 nt
Filed under: Hevea brasiliensis (rubber tree)
Lineage: Eukaryota; Viridiplantae; Streptophyta; Magnoliopsida; Malpighiales; Euphorbiaceae
Source: RNAcentral